RNAcentral lists this long non-coding RNA (243 nucleotides) under Nicotiana benthamiana. Its description in RNAcentral is "long non-coding RNA (NBEN_LNC031719)". The record is from RNAcentral. Lineage: Eukaryota; Viridiplantae; Streptophyta; Magnoliopsida; Solanales; Solanaceae.
UCUAAUCUUAGCAUCCAUGCUCGAUUGUCUGAAUCGUCUUUCAUUCCGUUCCAUCCAGAUAUUAUAUACAGCUGCGGCGAAUACCACUCCUAGGAUGGAUUUCCUUGGGUUUCUACUAUUUACUCUAUCAGAUAACCAUUGGACUUCAUACUCCCAGUUGUGUAACAUUCUAGUGAAGUUCAGCCACCUUAGUAGUCCUUGCCACAGUGAUUGUGAGUAAGGACAGUCAAAGAAAAGGUGAUC